RNAcentral lists this ribosomal RNA (253 nucleotides) under uncultured bacterium. Its description in RNAcentral is "partial 16S ribosomal RNA". It matches the Rfam family "Bacterial small subunit ribosomal RNA", at positions 524 to 776 of the family's 1533-position model. The record is from RNAcentral.
UACGUAGGGGGCUAGCGUUGUCCGGAUUUAUUGGGCGUAAAGAGCGUGUAGGCGGCCAGGUAGGUCUGCUGUGAAAACUCGAGGCUCAACCUCGAGACGUCGGCGGAAACCAUCUGGCUAGAGUCCGGAAGAGGAGAGUGGAAUUCCUGGUGUAGCGGUGAAAUGCGUAGAGAUCAGGAGGAACACCCAUGGCGAAGGCAGCUCUCUGGUCGACAUCUGACGCUGAGACGCGAAAGCGUGGGGAGCGAACGGG